GAUGAACGCUGACAGAAUGCUUAACACAUGCAAGUCUUUGGCGAAGCUGUGCUUGCACAGCCUAGCCAAGGCGGACGGGUGAGUAACGCGUAAGGAACUUGCCCUGCAGUCAGGGAUAACAGACGGAAACGACUGAUAAGACCUGGUAAAGUCAGGCGGACUCAUGUCCAGCCUGAUGAAAAGAGAUGCUGCAGGAGAGCCUUGCGUCCUAUUAGCUUGUUGGUGGGGUAGCGGCCCACCAAGGCGAUGAUAGGUAGCCGGCCUGAGAGGGUGGACGGCCACAAGGGGACUGAGAUACGGCCCUUACUACUACGGGAGGCAGCAGUGGGGAAUAUUGGACAAUGGGGGCAACCCUGAUCCAGCAAUUCUGUGUGCACGAUGAAGGUUUUCGGAUUGUAAAGUGCUUUCAGCGGGGAAGAAAAAAAUGACGGUACCUGCAGAAGAAGCGACGGCUAAAUACGUG
RNAcentral lists this ribosomal RNA (463 nucleotides) under uncultured bacterium. RNAcentral describes it as "partial 16S ribosomal RNA". It matches the Rfam family "Bacterial small subunit ribosomal RNA", at positions 28 to 507 of the family's 1533-position model. The record is from RNAcentral.